GAGGCCUACUGCUUACAUAUUCUUCCCGAUAAAAUGGCUCCUGCCAGACACAGGGCAGGAGGAGGAGGAAAGGAGAAUGAGCUGACCUUGUGAGUUUAUAAAGAGACAGCAGAAUUAUGGGAUUGAAUAACAAUCUUCUAGUCCCCAGAAGACUUUUUAACCCUCUAGUCUCAACCUGGGACAGGGGUGGUUGGGUUAGAGUUGGCAUCAGCUGCAGGGUGUGGGUGGUUGCUGAGCCUUGGGGGUUUCUUUGUGGCUUUGGUGUUGUUUAUGGUUAAUUUGGAGGCAAUGUUUUGUCUCUUGCAGAUCUGUGGUGGUGGAUCCUGUUCUAGAGGCUUGGGGAAGCUGAGCUCUCAGCGAGACUGUGAGGGAAGGAGACACAACCAUUGUUUUCAUUUCAUAGCCAAUUAUCUACUUUCUCUCACCAAAACAUUCUAGCCUGCUUCAAACUAGCACACCUCUGCACCUGAAGGUCCUGCCUAAGAAUCCCUGGAUAGAGCAUUCAGAAGAAGCCAGGAGGACAAGGUCAGAGACUGUCCUUUCCCCAGAAGCCAGGAAGAUUCUCCUUUCCUCUGAAGCUGGGAGGAUUCCAGCCUCACUGUCCACGGGCAAAGUUUCCCUGAAGAUUGGACAUUUAUAUGAGCUGUGAUGUAGCCCUGGAGGGUGAUUGAUAAUAAGAAUUUGUGACUAAAUGCUUUAAUGCCUCUGUAAUUUCGAUUGCCUCCUGCUACUGCAGAAAGAGCUUCAGCCCAUCUAGUGGGCAAGCAGCAUAUUGACCCCAAGCGGCAUUUGGCCGCAGGGAAAUUCCUCUCUCUGUUUAUAGUUUGAAUGUUUGCUGGUUAUUAAGAAGUUACUGUUUGAUGUUAUUCCUAGAAUAUCUUCCAUAACCGUGUAAUAUCCAAAAUAAUAUUAAAAUUCAGUGGCUGGGGGUGGCAGAGUUCAGAAUAUUGAAGGUAAUAAAUUGUAUAUUUUUAUAGACUA
Pogoniulus pusillus (Red-fronted tinkerbird) is the source of this 981-nucleotide long non-coding RNA. RefSeq lists it as uncharacterized. The record is from RefSeq and is a predicted model, not a curated record. Lineage: Eukaryota; Metazoa; Chordata; Aves; Piciformes; Lybiidae. The transcript has 2 exons.